UAAGCACUGCCUCCAUCCCAAAAUUCUUAUCUUAGAUUUUUCUAAAUAUGGAUGUAUCAAGUCACGUUUUAGUAUUAGAUACAUCUGUUCUAUACAAAUCUAAGAUGUCAAUUUUGGGACGGAGGGAGUACGCG
Molecule: non-coding RNA, 134 nt
Organism: Triticum urartu
Lineage: Eukaryota; Viridiplantae; Streptophyta; Magnoliopsida; Poales; Poaceae
Source: Rfam